Long non-coding RNA from Gossypium raimondii (Peruvian cotton), 999 nucleotides. RefSeq lists it as uncharacterized. NCBI's taxonomy places the organism in Eukaryota, Viridiplantae, Streptophyta, Magnoliopsida, Malvales, Malvaceae. The record is from RefSeq and is a predicted model, not a curated record. The transcript is spliced from 5 exons.
CCUCAUUUUAUUCCCCUCCCAAUUUUCCCAAAAAUUCCCCCAAAUCAAGAACCCUAGUCUGCUGCACUCCACGACCCAAACCUUCCCCAAAUCUGCUGCAUUGUCGUAGACCAUCCCUUCUGCCGUCGCUCGUCUCUACUUCUUUAAGCGUAAUCUAAAUUCAAGAUCAAGCCUUUUGAAAAUUGGCAAGGUAAAGUUCAUCUUUUUGGGAGUAUUGAGUUAAGAGCAAGAGAAAAUGGGGGAUAAAAAUGAAGUCUUGGAGGCUGUAUUGAAGGAAACUGUGGAUUUGGCACUAAAAGAAUCAGUCAUUGAAAUCUUUAACUGCAAAGAGGGCGAAUUUGCAUACCCUUGGGUUGAGAAAGUCAUCGUGGGAUAGGUCUGACAUGAGAGUUUAAGUUGUGUUACUCUAUUUAUUUAACUAUUAUCCAUUCUUAUUGUCAUAUUAAUUAUUUAACUAUCUUUCUUUUUCUUGAUUUGUUAUGCCGGUAUCAUUAUAUUUUGAUGAUGUAGUUUUCCCUACACAUAACUAACUUCUUGGAAUAACUUAUUUUCUGGGAUGUGACUCCCAAUAAGGAGAAUUACUAGCAAGCUGAUAGUGUUUAGCAUACCUCGAAUGAAUUCAAGUUAUUGAAUAUCUAGUAUAGUUACUUUUGUCUUACUGAGAUAGCAUUUACUCAAACAUAUUUGAUUCACAAGAGGCCUUAAAGCCAAUGUUAAAGCAUAAUGCUAUCUUUUGCAAACCCUGCUUACCACCCUCUAAAAAUGACAAAUAAUUAAUAAAUUGAUAAAAACAAAAAUAAAAAUAGUCUUACAUCAUCAAUCCCUUGUAGUCUAGUUGGUUAGGAUACUCGGCUCUCACCCGAGAGACCUGGGUUCAAGUUCCGGCAAUGUUUUGCUUAUUUUGUUCUUUUUCCCCAUUUUGCUUGCUUUUAUUUUUGUUUGUUUGUUUUUUUUUCUCAUUUUGCUUGCUUACUCUGUUACUGGUAUGGGUUUUUGUUA